GAAACGACUGCUAAUACCGCAUAAGCCCACGGCUCGGCAUCGAGCAGAGGGAAAAGGAGUGAUCCGCUUUGAGAUGGCCUCGCGUCCGAUUAGCUAGUUGGUGAGGUAACGGCCCACCAAGGCAACGAUCGGUAGCCGGACUGAGAGGUUGAACGGCCACAUUGGGACUGAGACACGGCCCAGACUCCUACGGGAGGCAGCAGUGGGGAAUAUUGCACAAUGGGGGAAACCCUGAUGCAGCGACGCCGCGUGGAGGAAGAAGGUCUUCGGAUUGUAAACUCCUGUUGUUGAGGAAGAUAAUGACGGUACUCAACAAGGAAGUGACGGCUAACUACGUGCCAGCAGCCGCGGUAAAACGUAGGUCACAAGCGUUGUCCGGAAUUACUGGGUGUAAAGGGAGCGCAGGCGGGAGAACAAGUUGGAAGUGAAAUCCAUGGGCUCAACCCAUGAACUGCUUUCAAAACUGUUUUUCUUGAGUAGUGCAGAGGUAGGCGGAAUUCCCGGUGUAGCGGUGGAAUGCGUAGAUAUCGGGAGGAACACCAGUGGCGAAGGCGGCCUACUGGGCACCAACUGACGCUGAGGCUCGAAAGUGUGGGUAGCAAACAGGAUUAGAUACCCUGGUAGUCCACACCGUAAACGAUGAUUACUAGGUGUUGGAGGAUUGACCCCUUCAGUGCC
Molecule: ribosomal RNA, 678 nt
Filed under: uncultured bacterium
Lineage: Bacteria
Description: bacterial SSU rRNA
Rfam family: Bacterial small subunit ribosomal RNA
Source: RNAcentral